Long non-coding RNA from Harpia harpyja (harpy eagle), 1379 nucleotides. RefSeq lists it as uncharacterized. The transcript has 5 exons. NCBI's taxonomy places the organism in Eukaryota, Metazoa, Chordata, Aves, Accipitriformes, Accipitridae. The record is from RefSeq and is a predicted model, not a curated record.
UUCACUGGUUCAAAAGCUGAGCUACAAGUAUAAUGAAGAGCAGAUUUAGGCCUUAUGAGAGGUACUACUGAAGGGUGACAUAUCAGACAAGAAAAACCCAAUUAGAUAAUUAAAAAAUUGCAAGACAAUAGAGCAAGAAAAGAAAUAAACAACAAUUAAUUACUAAAAGGUGAUUUAGCAGCUUUAAGUAACUUGACAGAGAAAAUAAUAAAACCCCCACGCUUAAGAAAAAAAUAGAAAGCUUUGGACAAGGUGCAAUAUAUCAUGUAACCUAAAAUAUGAGUUUGGCAAAAAACCAUUGUCUGAAGUGUUUUAUGAUCCAACCACCAAUGUUUUAAGGCUAUACAGAAACACUUCUCGAAGAAAUACUAGUAACUUUUCUUCAGUUACAUAACAGAUAAGUAAUAAUACCACUCUAUCAUCCAGAACUACAUUUAAAUCUAUCCAGAAUUCCGUUACAAUAUACAGGUUCUGUACCCAAUAGUUAUUUAACUCAGACCUCAGAAUUUUUCCUGUAUUCUUGCCCAGUGUAUUCCACUGGGAGAUGCAUUUUCUUAGAAUGCUUAAAAGCAUACCCCCAGUUUCCCAACUUUGCUCUUCCUUUCAUUUGAUUAUAGAAAAACUAGGAUUUUUUUUCAGUUUUUUAGUUCUUUUACUUUUAGAGACCUAAUUUCUCCCAUAUGAUCAUUGGAAGUAAUGCUUUUCAUUGAUUUAUUUGAAGUUAUAAUGAGUGAAGGACUAGUCUGGCAAAAAAUUUCUGUGGUCGUUAUGAAAGAAUUGUAUUACAAAUAUGGUAUGGAUUAUCAACAUUUGUAUCAAAAAACAUUCCAGAGGACUCCUGGAACCAUAGCAUUCAGAAGAAUCAGAUACAAAAUACUCAUUUAGUUUGUCAGAUUGUAUCAUGUACUGACAAAAUAUCAUCUUACAAAGAAUGCUGCACAGCAUAACUACAAGAAAAUUAAUAUACUGCAAAAAGGCCCAAGCUCUGUGCAUCUGGAAGACCAAAAGACAAUUGUUUAGCAGCACAGGCAGCCUUCAGUGGACAAUCAGAAUGUGCCUACAGCUGAAGAAGCUCUCUGGCGCGAUGCCUUUGUCACUCUUAAAUCUGAUUUCACAGAACUUGAAAAGAAGUUGGAUGAUACCAAAAAGGAACUGGAGGAGGUGCAUGCUGAUCUUGUCAUGGUCAUGCAGGAACUUGAUUUGGCAAGAGCUGAGGUACUGUUUUGGAUCCUGCUACUGUAACACCAGCAUAUAAUAUUAAAUAGUCCCCAAAAAUACACUGUUGGAUGCUGACUGUAAUAUAAGAAGGGAAUACUUUGAUUCAGGUUUUGUCAUAACUGUGUGCUGUAUGGUAUAUUUUAUCAUCUGGAGAAAUUACA